Molecule: ribosomal RNA, 253 nt
Filed under: uncultured bacterium
Lineage: Bacteria
Description: partial 16S ribosomal RNA
Rfam family: Bacterial small subunit ribosomal RNA
Source: RNAcentral
UACGUAGGGUGCGAGCGUUGUCCGGAAUUACUGGGCGUAAAGGGCUCGUAGGUGGCCAACUAAGUCAGACGUGAAAUCCCUCGGCUUAACCGGGGAACUGCGUCUGAUACUGGAUGGCUUGAGUUUGGGAGAGGGACGCGGAAUUCCAGGUGUAGCGGUGAAAUGCGUAGAUAUCUGGAGGAACACCGGUGGCGAAGGCGGCGUCCUGGACCAAUACUGACACUGAUGAGCGAAAGCCAGGGGAGCAAACGGG